UCGGGAAUAUUGGACAAUGGGGGCAACCCUGAUCCAGCAACUCCGCGUGAGCGAUGAAGGCCCUCGGGUCGUAAAGCUCUGUCAGAGGGGAAGAAAACCUUCGGGCGAAUAGUCCGUUGGCUUGACGGUACCCUCAAAGGAAGGUCCGGCUAACUCCGUGCCAGCAGCCGCGGUAAUACGGAGGGACCAAGCGUUGUUCGGAAUUAUUGGGCGUAAAGCGGGUGUAGGCGGCUUUGCAAGUCAAGUGUGAAAUCCCAGGGCCCAACCCUGGAACUGCACUCGAUACUGCAUCGCUCGAGUCCCGGAGAGGAUGGCGGAAUUCCAGGUGUAGAGGUGAAAUUCGUAGAUAUCUGGAGGAACACCAGUGGCGAAGGCGGCCAUCUGGACGGUGACUGACGCUCAGACCCGAAAGCGUGGGGAGCAAACAGGAUUAGAUACCCCCGUAGUCC
RNAcentral lists this ribosomal RNA (449 nucleotides) under uncultured prokaryote. Its description in RNAcentral is "bacterial SSU rRNA". It matches the Rfam family "Bacterial small subunit ribosomal RNA", at positions 355 to 796 of the family's 1533-position model. The record is from RNAcentral.